UUUUUAUUGCUUUUGAAGAAAAAAGGAAAACUAUUUGACUUAAGUGUAGUUCUCUUGGUUUUAUCUUUUAAGAUUAUGUUUUUUUAUAAUAGGAGGUUGGUGCCACAGUCUAAAGAACCGAGGUACCAUUAGAAGAGCAAAUGCAUAUAAAUAAAGUAGUACUUGCUUUGUGAGAUAGUUAUGAGAAGUGAUAUGACUGUGGAACAUAUUUUUUUGGUGGUGCCCAGUCUAUUUUUAGGGCUAAUGGAAGUUUUUUUGGGAUUGAUCUCCUAAAAACAAGACAUAAUGUAAAAAAGUUAGACUUAAUUGUCCCCUUGUUAUCCAUUUUAUGCAUUGACAUUGAUUUAAGCAUUCAACACAUAUCUCUUACAUUGUAUGUGACUUGGGUACAUAAGGAGUUGGACAAAGGAUAUAAGUCAUAGGUUUCUUGUAAGUAGAUAAGUUGUCCAUAGUUAGUUCAUGGAUUUGGGCAAUCCAGUUAAGAUUGUAGCGCACUACAUCCUAAUUGGAAGGAUAACUUAUCUUAGUCGUUGGAAUGGGUUUCCUAUGGUGAGUGCACUAAUGUAUGAGAUACACACUGGACAGGGCCUACAAUGAAUCUAUUAGGAUAAAACCCUAAAAAACAUGACAUGAUGUAAUAAACUCUUGGAUUUUAUUUGUUUAAUGAAGUUCCAAUUCACUUUUAUCUAUCCUAUUUCCAUGCAUUAUAUCUUGUAAGCACUUUAGCCUGCAUCUUUUGCAUUGUAUGUGACUUAGGUGCAUUAGGAGUUGCAUAGAAGAUCCAAUUCAUGAGAUUCCUUGCAAAUAGAUGACUUGUUCAUAGUCGGUUCAUGGAUCUAAACAACCUAUUAGAGGCUAUAGUGCACUACCUUCUAAUUGGAGGGAUGACUGAUUAUGGCUAUCGAGAUGGGUUUUCCAUGGUGAGUGUACUAGUAUGUAUGGUUACACAUUUGAUAGAACCUACGAUGAGUCAUAACUUAAGGUUAUCAAGUAGUCACAACCUCACCAAGUUGUUUCAUUAUGUUGUCUCUCAACCUUGAGAGAAUAUUGAGCUUGUGUUGAAACUAAUAGUGGCUUUGACCUAAGAGUGAGAUCCUAAGCUGAUCAUAUAUUCCCUAUAGAUUGGGUUACUUUUGAUAAAAAGAAAAUUAAGAAAUUCCUUGAUAAAAUGGUGAGUUGGUAAUUUUUUGAAUUAUUUAAUUUCAUUCAUUCUUUUAUUCAUUUAAUUUUUAAGGGAAAUUAAUUUAAAUAUUGGAGAAAAUUAAACCUAAGACAUUAGAGGAAACCAAAUGAACUUAUAACAACAUGACUUAGAAAUUUGAGAGAGAUACCUGACACGGAUGUUUCUUGUAAGAUAUUUAUGUUUGAAUUGUCUAUCUCUCUAGAACUAUUCUGAGUCAUAGAAAUUUUUUCCCAUGAUCUUCACUGCCUAUUUUCUAGUUGAAGAUAGACCUUUGUGUUUUACUAUUGAUUUAUUGUGUCUUAUGAAGCUUUUAUUAUAUUUGGAUGAUUUGCAUACAUUUUUAUUCCUCUCAAGCUUAGAUUUGCACAUUGGAGUCACUAUAGGAAUCUAUUCAUUUUUCAUGCUUUCACAAAGCAUCAAGACAAAUCUCCAACUAUCGUAUUCUAUUGAUUUGAUCAUAUCUUAUCCUAGACAUUGCUUUAUCUUUAGUAUUGUUUUCUAUAUGUGUGCAUGUUACAGGAUUGGAAGAUAAGUACUAUAAGAUUAUGAAAUGCAUUCCCUUAAUUUAUUUUUAAUUGAGCAUUAAUAUGUGUUAUGUAAACUCCAUUAUGAGAGUUCGGGUGGGUUUAUGUAACAAUGUUUUGUCACAACCUUAUCAAAGGGGAAGAUUGUUAGAACAUUGAGUCUUUUAUAUGUAUGUUGGCAAUUUUAUUCCUUUUAAUGUUUGGUCAUAGAAGUCAUUUUAGAUAGUGACUUUCUCUCUAUUGAAGAUCAAGGGUUGUUGUUUAUCCAACCAGGAAGUCACGGGUAUGUCUAAAAAGGUUUUACUUACGGAAAAUUUGGUUCCUAUAAGGUAUAGAGAGAAUUAGCUUAUUUUUUAACUUAAAAUAACUUACAUUUAAAUUUUUAUAAAAAGGUAGGACCACUCAAGCAGCCUAAAGUGCUCAAGCGUUGAAAAACGCUCAAGCAUUCCUCAUUGUUCAAGUUCCCUUACUGCUCAAGCGCUCGAGGUGCUCAAGCAAUCCUUCAUUGAGCUCGAGCGGUUAUGGUGAUUUUAUCGAGAUUUUUCAUGCAAAUUUGAUUAAGAGCUCUUCCAAAAUUGAAACUUUUUGGGUAACUUGCCUAUAAAUACCUCAUUAUAACCCUUUAAGGGUAAUAGAUCUUAUUUUCCUUAGAGAGGGUUUCUUUGGAAAGAAAGUCUAACAAGCCACACCAUUCUCGAUUUCUGAUUCAAAAAAUUCAAGCUUUGAAUAUUGGGUUGAAGACCUUCAUUCCUUCGGUGAGGCUGAAGUGUAUUCAUUAAAGCAAUGAGAGGUUGUUGCAUCUUGGAUGUGGAUCAAGUUGUAGGUAUGAGAGAAUAAGUCUUUAGGGUAAAAUGACGAGGUAAAUCUAUGUAAUUUGAUCUCAUAUAGUGGAUUUAGAUUAAGGGUCUUAGACCUCAAGGUUUUUUUUAUCUCCAUGGUUAGUGUGAGGAUUUUCCACAUAAAAAUCUUUUAUGCCUCAUCACUUAUAUUUUUUAUUAUCAUGUUUGCAAUGCCUAUCUUUGAUUGAAUUGAUAAUCUCUAACUACUUGUAGGGAAAAAGUUAGUUAUAACAUAUAAAUUUUUAUUUAAAUUUUAAAAUACACUCAUUCAUUCCCGCAUCUUCUCCUUCUUUGGGUGUUAUCCCAUUGGACUUUGGGGUUUUUUCAAUUUUUUUUAUUUGACUAUAUUUUGCGUUACAUGUGCAUUUUGAAUAAGUAACCUUAAUUAACAAGGAAAAAUAUGUUAACCUUUUGUUACCCUUGGUGAAGGUAAUAAUGAUCUAAAAACCCAAGCAGUAGUGUUGUUACUAACCUAAGGUAUACCAUUGGUUUCACCCACUAACACAUAAGGAAUAUUUGAGGCUAGCCACUUCUGUAAUUCUCACUAUGAAGGACACUUUUGUAACUCCCACUAUGAUAGGCAUUCUAUUAACUGUUGGGCUAGAUUGCUCUAUUCCCUAGCCCUCGAACAAAUAAGGUGCAUGCAUCUACCUUAGGCUUCUCUAGAAAGUAAUCUAAGACAAAACAUGGCUUCAAAAAACCUAUUAGAUAUUUAAUAUAGAGAGAGCUGAAAGCAUACUAUAGACCCUCCAUUUUUCCUAGUAGCACAUGUUAUUCUAUGUGUUCCCCUCCACUUCUUGUUACCUUUUAGUGUCUCAUGGUGGUCCAUUAUUACUCAUUUGAUUUACUAUUUUUGAGUCACCUUUGGAGAUUCGUUGUCGAGGUAUUUUUAUGGAAUAAUUGUAAUCUUAGUCACACCUAAGUCUAACUCAUUUAGAUGCAUUUUCUAGGUUUAGCUCACUUAAUAGAAUUUUAACUUAGUUCAUUUAGUUUCACCUUAGGUUCAGCUCGCUUAGUUACAUUUUAGCUUAAUUCAUUUAGUUCCACCUUACGUUUAACUAACUUAGUUACACUUUAACUUAAUUCACUUAGUGGCACCUUAGGUUCAACUCACUUAGUUACAUUUUAGCUUAGUUCACUUAGUGGCACCUUAGGUUCAUCUCACUUGGUGACACCUUAGCUUUAGUCUACUUAGUGACACCUUAAGUUCAACUCAUUUAGUGACACCUUAGUUUCAGCUCACUUAGUUGCACUUUAGCUUAACUCACUUAGUUGCACUUUAACUUACCUUUCUUAGUGUCAACUCACUUAGUUACACUUUAACUUAGAUCACUUAGUUGCACUUUAGCUCAACUCACUUAGUUACACUUUAGGUUUAGUUCACAUUGUUGCAUUUUAAGAAAAUUAUUAGUUGCCUUUUAGUUUAGGUACACUUUAGGAUAGUUCAUCUAGAUGUAUUUUAGGAUCUUUUUAGUUACACUUCAUGAUAGUAUUUCAUAUCACCUUGCAUGGCAUGUGCAUGAGGGUUGUUUAGGAGAAUUUGGGACGCAACCAAAGUGGAGAGGACUUUUAGGAAGGAUGUACAUGGCCACAUGAAAAGAUUAAGAAGAGAAAUCAAUGUUUGGAAAGCCUUUGGAAGAGUAUACAUGGCUAUAGAUGAGAGAAAUAAGGAAAACAUGUCUUUUUUGGAAAGUCUUGAAAAUAUAUACACAACUAGGAGGGUAUUUGGAAGAUUGGUUUUAGAGAUUGAGAGAGACUCUUAUUGUUAUACAUGACAUGAUGAGACUUGGAUGAAGAAGACUCUUUGGAGAUUAGUACACGACCAUUGGGAGGUUGUUUAGGAAAGUAAGAAGAUUUUGGGAGAUUGAGGAGAGAUUCACAUGGUUUUAGGUUACCAUUGAGACUUGGAAAGAUCACACACGACAUAGAUAGAGAGGUCUUUGGAGGAGUCCAUAGAUAGGAGGCUUUGUUAGGAUUCAUUCACACCAUAUUGAGAGUGGUGGAGGGCAUUGGAAACUUUGGAUAAGGAAAGACUCUUUUUAAGAAGUGAGAUCCAUGGUUUUGGGGAGAUUGAGAUGCCAUAGGAUUCUUUGGAGAUAGAUUUUUAAAAAAAAUAAGGAUACCAUGCUUGAUGAGAAGGAUAUUCCUGUGAUUGAGUAGGAGAAUUGAUGGGAACUCUUUAACUUAACGCCAUUGGAAAGUUUGAGAAAGGGUUGAACUCUCUUUGGAAGGGGGUGCGACAUAGAGAGUUGAAGAGUUCAUGAUAAGGAAGAGAGAAAAAGAUUAAGAGGUUUCUAUGGAAGGGUACUAGGACACCAUCUUGAGAUAGAGAAACUUGAAGAUUUUAGAGAAGCUUCUGUGGAGGAUCCACUCCAUUGAAAGAGGGACUUAGGGCUACCGACAAUUGAUAUUGAAGAAAAAAUGAGGCAUUUUGACUAGAAAAGUUGAAGUCUUGAAGAUAAAAAAAAAAGAAAAAAGACAAGACUCAGCAUAGGGAAACAAGAAAGGAAUAAGUUUGUAUCAUUUUGGAGGAUAGGUAUGUUUUUUUUUUUUUUUCAUAUUUUGAUUAUGAUAAUCUCUUCAUUUAUUUUUUUUUUUCCUUCCAUCUUGCUUAGGUAUAGGAAUUCUCUUUGUUUAGGGUGAAUAAUGAAGGCCACUUUGAUUAUUGAUGACAUAUUGAUAAAAAGUUGAUGAAUGGUUGAUUGAUCUAAUGUUAAUUGAUGUCUAUGAUAAUUGAGGUUAAGAUUGUUUUCUUUAGAAUUACUUUCACUUGAUUGAGGCUCCUUAGACAAUACAUGAUAGGUAACUAAUAGAUUCUCUAUUUGAUUUUUUAUUGUCUUUGAUCUUAUUUUUGGGUUGUUUGUUUUUGUUUUGGAUGGUUAGAUUGUUCACCUAUAGCCACAUAAUCAUCUUCAUGCAUUACACUUUUUUCAUUGUUGUUUGUGUCUGAUAUUUUAUGUGUUUAGGGUCUUUAAAAUUGUUUUUUCUUUUGUAAACCUUUUCCUAAAUAGAUCGAUCCUCUAACAUCUAUUAAAAAUUCAUCUUAGGUCACUAGGGUUAAAAAAAAUAAUCAUUUUCAAAAGACAUGCAACCAAUUUCAAUCGGUGUGCAUUUUUCCAUUGGUUUUCAAAUGAAUUUUGAUUUUGUGAUAUAUGAAUCCAAGUUCAUGGUUCUGAACAAAAUGGAAUGAUUCUUUACCUUGAUGAGCUUGCUAAUGAUCAUAUCAGGUUAAAAAUGAAUGAAUUAAAUUUGUGUAUAUUAAAUAGGGACUUGGUGAAGCCCUACAUACAUCUAACUUUGAAAAAACCUAUUGCCAGUGUUUGUUGUAUUAUUAACCACUUAAUUGAAAAAUUGGAAUCGAAUGGCUUAUUGUUUUUCUAAAAUGAAUUUCAUACUUUUAACUUAUUACUAACCUUUUAAACUUAUCAAUUAGACUUUAUUUGAUUUUAAAUCAUUUUUUAAUUGAGAGAUCUACAUUGGUUAUUAAAUAGGUCCUGUUUUGACACUAUUCUAUACACCUGCACCAAUUUUAUAAAAAUAAAUUAUUUCUUGAUUUUUUUUAAUUUUGUAUGAUAUUUUUUCCCCUUAGUCUACACGUCUUGAAGUUAAUUUUAAGAUGCUUCUUUGUUCAAAAGUUAUUCUUAAGUAGGAAAAAAAAAAUUUCCUACGCCCACUACAUUGACCCUAUUCUAUAGUCAAAGUCUAUUUGGAUUCAUUUAAAAAUUCUCCUUAUGUGAUUUAAUCAUGCUGCUAUUUUUUUGUAAUAUAGGCCUAUCGAAUACAUUGUACAAUUUUUCUCUUGAUUUUAUCGUGCUUCUAGGUUAGUCAAAUAAAUUCAUCUUUUUAUGAUACUAAAAUCUUCUUUGUUUCUGAUCUAUAUGCUUGUGAUAGAAUCUGGUAUUAAUCGGAACAUAAUUUAAUGAUUUUGCCUUCUGGGCUGUAAUCUAGACAUACAAAAGAUGUUGUCUUUUUUUUUUUUUUUUUUCAUGGUGAAAUUUCAUUUCUAGAUAUUUUUUUUAGGAUUUAUUUUUUAUGUUCCUUUGUUCUACCAUGUUGUUGAAUGUUUCGAAAAGUGAUAAUAAAUUCAAUUUAAUAUGGAAUAAUUGGUGAUUGAUUAAAUUAUUUUGACACUUGCUUUACAUUUUUAACACUUUAAAGGUGAUGAAAAUUUUUUAUUUUGAUAAAAUACCAUAUCUAAAUAUUUCAUUUUGAUUUAUUUCAUGAACACUUCAUUUUUUUCCCUAUUGCUAAGUGUUUUGUUCAUUUUAGAUAAUUCCUUUUUUCUUAUGUAUAAUUGUGAAUUCUUUUAAUCCAGAUUUAUAUUGAGAGCAUGUCACACACAUCAAGUAUGUAUCUUUUUACAUCAUUAUGUUAUUUUUUAUAUUUCAUUUGAGUAUGCUUUGUGGAUGUAUGUAUGUUAGAUUCAUUUGUUGCCUAUGCAUUAUUAUUAUUUUUUAUUUUUGAUCAAAGUUGAUUCAUGUUAUGUAUGACAUAGGAUUUUAAUAUUAUUGUUUACAUUUAUUGUUUUAUAAAAGUUUUUGACUUGUUUUUAAGGUACUCUUUCCAUUCCCUAUUUAUUUGAUUUCAUUUGAUAUGUAUGUCGUGUGUGAAUAUUUUAUUGCUAUGUUUCUAUUUGUCAACACCAUCGUCAUGUUAUUGCUCCCUUGGUAACUAUUGAUUUACAAAUUGAUUAUCAUAGUUACCUUAAUUUAAUUAGUAAAGACCUUUAUUUAGGGUUUGGAGGGGUACUAUCCUAUGGUACCUUCUCGAUAGGCAAUCUAACCUCAAAACUUAAACUUAUUUUUCAAAAACAUAUUUUUCCAAAUAAAAAGUCAUUUUUAAGGUUUUAUUUCUUAUUUUAUUUUCCCUUUAAAAAAUAAUAAAAAUAAGUAGCAAGUCCAUCUUUUUCAAAAAUUAGUUUUUCAAAUGCAUGUGAAAAAUAUGGAUCCACAUACACCUAAAUCUAGACGGUCCUAGAUCAAAUGCAUUCCAUAGAAUUUGUUAAAUAAGAAUUUAAAACCGUUGAAGACGUCAUAGAUCUCGUCUACCCAAUAGUCUUCCACCCGAUCUCUCUAAGCAUAAUAAUAGACACAAGAAUAGAAUGGUCUUUUCUUUCUUGAAAGAUGGCUAAGGUUUUCUCUUUGAAAAUUUUCUUUGGAAGAAGAUUGGUAAAAAAUGAAACCCUAACCCCUAAUAAGGGGAUAUUUAUAGGCUUCAUUAUUAGAUUAAAUGACUUAAACCCAAAUGAGACUUGGGUAACCUAAUCUAGCCCAACUUGGCCCUAAUUAAUUAAUUAGCCUCAAUAAGCUCUAAUUAAUUAAUUAGCUCAUACCAGAAAGACAAGUUAUAAGAUCUAGUGUAACAUUAUGCUUUUAUCAAAAUGCCCUUCUGCACACUUGUGAACUAGAAAACCAAAAUCUUCAAAUAAAAUGUACCUCCAUGAAAUAAAAGCUUGAAAAUGGACCACUAGGACCCACCUAAAAAUAUUAACUCCCUUAAAAUCUAAUUUUGAAGUUGAUUCAAUAUUCCAUUAAAGAGAAUCAAUUGCAAUAUGGUAUUUUAUGUAAUUACAAUGAGGCGAACCUUAGGUUCGUGCCUAAUAAUCCAUUGCAUGCAAACCCCUUUUAACUAGUGUCUGUAAUAUAACAAGGUAGUGUUAUCACCUAUUAAGAUUACCUCUCAAAUCCUUAAAUUAUAGAUCUACUUAUUACGUGAUUAAUUGACAUACUCCAACUUUAAGGAGCAAAUGUCAAAUUUCCAAUAAGGAAAUGUUAUGGGCAUAGUCUUCUAGAUCACACAUCUUUUAGAUCACCUAAGAGGACACACUAUCUCACUUUAAUGAGAUAGCAUGGUGCAUUUAUUGGGAAUUCAUGUUGCCACCAGCCUUCAUCACUAGUGACCUAAUUCAUAGGGAUAUAUGACCACAUUAAGGUCUCACCCAUAGGUCAAAGUCUCUUGUUGAUUUUGACACAAGCUUAAUAUUCUCACAAGGUUGAGAGUCUAUGCAGUAUGGUAGCUUGCUGAAUUAUGAUAACUAAUACCCAUACAUCAUGAUUCACUGUAGGUCCUGUCCAAUGUGUAACUGCACACAUUAGUACACUCACUAUGGGAAACCCAUCUUGACUGCCAAGACAAGUCAACCCUCCUAUUAGGAGGUAGUAUACUCUAGUUUGUACUAGAUUACUCAAAUCCAUGAACUGACUACAAAAACUUAUCAUCUUGUAAAGAACCCAUGACUUAUAUUCUAUGUACAUCUUCUAAUGCACCUAAAUCAUGUACAAUGUAAGUGAUAUGAGUAUGUAUGCUUAGAUAACCAAAUAAUGCAAAUAUGAUAGUAAAGUAAACAAGAAAGAUAAAUAAAUAAAUUUAUUAAUGAAUAUAAAAUAGUUACAUAAUAUCAUACUUUUCAAGACUCUAUCCCAACAUUAACUAUUUUUUUUUUAAUAUAUGCAUGUUUAUCGAAAAAUUUGAUUUAAUACUUUUAUGAAAAUAACACAAGUAAUACAAUUUUGUUUCUUUUGAUUAUAUUCAUGUUGAAAGCAUUCCCUAUUUCAUUUUUGAAAAAUAAAUGUACUUGAUCUCUACCUCAUAUUAAGCUUUCAAGCUUACUCAUUUUAUUAAAUCUUUUCAAGGACACUUGAUUCUAGGAAGAAGUAACAUGGGUAGGAAGGACUCCAGAAGUUCCUUGAUUUCUUUAGCUAUGAGGCUAGUUUGUUUGGAUACUAGUGGUUUAUUUUACUACUACUUUUAGAGAAUUAUCAAAAUUUUGAUUUAUUGAUUUUUUUUGUAUGGAAAGACAAAUUUCUAGUUAAGACUUUUUUGUUAGCUUAACUAUUACUUCGAAUAAGUUUUGGGAUUAACAUUUUGCUGAUUAAUUUUUCUUGUUAGUUCACUCUCAUGUUAAGCAUUUAUGCUUCACAUAUGAAAUGAAUGUGAUGUCCUAGCCUUCGGGUUUGGGUUGUCACACAACCCUCUCUAGUUAGACACGUAUGUAAAAAUUAAGGGUUUAAUCCUCUUCACAGUCUAUAUGGACCACCUAAUGGCUUCCUUGCAUUCCUUAAGAGCUUUUAAUAAUCUUCUCUCUCAUUAGUCCACAUGAAGUCAAACUGAAAUUGCCAUUGGUUUUCCUUCAUUCUCACUAAGAAAAACAUAUUUCAAUCCCUAUAGUAGUGGUUUCAAUUCACAUCUCUUCUCCUGGAACUUUUUAGAUUAUUCCUGCUUAAUGUUUUCUAUUUACAUGCUAUUAACAUCUAGUCCUACCUUCUUCUUCUUUCAACAAGUGUUGUCCUUCUUCAUAUCUCUCUUUUCAAUGGCAUUUAGCUAAGCUUCUUUCCUUGGAAAACUAGUUAGUACUUUAUCCUAAUGCUUCUCCAUGAGUUGAUUUGCAUGUUCUUUAAUUCAAGUGUCAAUCAAGCAUACUUCUUCAGGUUCAAACUCUUCAUGAUUAUUGUUACUUGCAUAGAUGAAAUGCAUUCAACUUCAGAGUCAUGUUCCCAAAUGACAAUUACAUGACCCCAUUCUAACAAUUGAUAAGUACAUUAGUAAUGGCUAAGAAUGUUUGUGCUAAGAUAAUUGGAACUGAAUUCACCCCUUUCCUCAAAGGUUCUAUGUCUGUAGAAUUUUUCAACUAGCACUAGCAUAUCAUCCACCACUCCUUUAGGUAUUUUGAUUUUUCUAUUAGCUAAGGAUAAAGUUAUAAACAUGGCUUUUAAUUAUUCCAAUCUUGAUUGCUAAUGAAUAGAGUAAGGUAGGAGGUUCACACUUGCGCCUAAGUCAAGAAAUGCCUUCUUCACAUAUGAAUCUCUAAUUUGCACAAAGAUAGUGAGAUAGUUUAGGUUCUUAUACUUCACCAUGACUUUGUUUUCUAUCAUUGCACUCACCUACUCUAUUAGAAAAGCCUUUUUGUUGAUGUUAAUUUUCCUUUUAACUGCGUAAGGAUCUUUUAAAAUUUUUGCACAGGUUAGCACCUAUUUGAUCAUGUUUGAGAGAGGUAUAUUUACCUUGUCUUGCAUUAGCACUUUAAGAAUAUUAGAAGUUUGUUUAUUGAUCUUAGGCUUCCUAAGUAUUGAAAGGAAAGAUAAGUAAUUCUAAAUUGUGUCUUUCCCUUAUCUUGUUGUUUUUUCUUUUAUUUCUUACUCAAUUCCUUCUCUAAAAUUUGUUGAUCUAUAUUUUAAACAAUUGAAUCUUUCUUCUAAUCAGUUUUACCAUUCUUUUUUGGUUUUUGUGUUUUCAACUCCUUCUCAAUGUAAGUACUGUUUUUACCUCUUUAUUCUUCUUAAAAUCUAUUGCUUCACAAGUAUUCCUUAGAUUUUGUUGAGAUUAGGUUGGGAAUCUCCCUUUUUCUUGAGGUAGGUUGGAAAAAAUCGGAUUCAUUGUGGCUCAGGUGUUGGAGAUGGUAUGGCUUGUCUGAAUAUUGAUCUUCCUUUCUUCCUCAUUUAUCUUCCUUCAAUCCUCAUUGAAUUAUCUUUGCUCAAAGGUGAACUGAACUUGUUGUUGAUAGAUUUAUUGAAGUAGAUUUUCCAUACUUAGAGUAGUUGAAGUUGAUUAAGGUUGUUGCACAAAUCCUUAACUUCCUUUAUGAAAAGAAAUGCUCACAAAUAGGGGUUCAUUGGAGUUGGAUUGAGUAGAGAACAGUUGUUAUCCUUGUCCUUGACUGUUGUUAAAUUGGUUUCCUUAUUGCAUAAACUAAUUUAGGGGUUGAGUUGAUGUUAUUCCCUACUAAAAUUGAUUAUUCCUUCUUUAAGACAAGUUUAGAUGGUUUCUCUACCUUGAAUUGUAUGUGUUGUUAGAGGGGAGAUUGUUGUUACUUUGCCUAAAGGCACUAAUUGCAUUGGCUUGCUUUAAGAUGUCAUUCACCUGGAGCUUUGGUGGAGCUUUUAUCCUUGGUUAUGUCUUUACUCAAUGAAUCUUCCCAACUCAUUGAUACUUCAACCAUGUAAUCUAAGAAUUGAAGGGCUUCUUUUGAAUUUUUUUUCAUAAAGUCGCCUUCUUACAUUGUUUCCUCUAGUUGCUUCAUUUGAGGAGACAUUCCUUCAUAGAAGUAACUCACCAACAUCCAAAUCUUCAAUCCAUGAUGUGGGUAAGCACCAAGCAUUACAUUGGAUCUCUUCCAACAUACAAACAAAGAUUCUUGUUCCGGUGCUUUGAAGUUGGAAAUCUUUUUCUUCAGUGCACUAUCUUGUGUGAAAGAAAUUUUUUUGAAAAAAAUAUUGAUUGAAAAUUUGUCCAACUUCCAAUACUUUAUAAAUUACGAGUGUUAAGCCAUAUCUUGGCCUGGAUCUUUAAUGUUAAAGAAAAAAGUUUUAUCCUCAUCACUUCAAUAGGCAUGUUUGCUACCUAGACUGUGAAGCAAAUUUCCUCCACAUCCAUACCCCCUUUAAAAAUAGGCAACAUUGACAUUAAUUGUGGUUUGAUCAUAACAUGCUCUUGAGGAAAAAAGAAACAUGAGGAUGUGCUGACCUAGAAAGGUUAAGAUGACCUCUCAUCGAUCUGCAAGCUUGGAAGGGUUUGGCUUGUUAAUUGUUGUUGCUUGUUUAAUCUCCUUAGCUAUCCAUACUUGCCUUAAGUUGGUUGAAUUUCUCUUUUAAGUCUACCUAAAAUGUCCUUUUUCCAAACAAAUAUAAAAAGUAAAAGGGAAAAAAAUAGAAAGAGAACUAAAGGCAAAAACAAGAGACAACAAAAUAAUUAAUGGUUAACGAAAAACAACUAUUCUAAUUAAAAAUUAAACUAAAAACUAAAAACUAAAAAGUAAUGAGUACUUAAUUGACUUAGACAAAACUCAUUAUCAAUUCCCUAGUAGUGAUGCCAUUUUCUAGAUCAAUUUUUGUCUAUUGUAUAAGUUUACUAUAGCCUAAUAACAUAGUGAUCUCGAUUAAGAAAAACUAGAGAAAAGAUCACCACAACUUGUAGUAUUUUGAGUUAUCAUUCUCAGGGAAUAAAAAAAAUUAACUAAUUUUGUCUGGAUCAAAUCAAAUAAUAACCUUUAUGAAAAAUUAUUUGAAUCAAAGAUGUGAUUUGAUUGGUAAACUGAAUUUUUAAUUGAGAAAACAAUGAUAAACAAAUUUAGGGAUUUUCAUAAAUAUGGGUUUAGACCUAGGAUUGAGAAAUAACAGAUACUACUUGAAGGAUUUUGGUUUUUCCAAGAUUGUAUCACCGAUACAAAUCAUUCUCAUAUGGAACCAUGUUUUGAAUAUUUGAAAUUCAUUCUUUGAUAGUCUUCAAUGAAUGAUUGGAUAAGAAGUUUUAAUCUUUAAAAUAUUUAAAACUCAAUAUUUAUAUGGUAAAUUUUCUUUAGUUAUUAAUCAUAUAGGAUCACACUUGGUCAACCAUUGAUAAUCUCUUAUGCACCAACGAACCCCUAACAUGCAUUCUAUGUAUCUCUAAUAGGGAUGAACUAACAAAGAAUUUAACUUGCUUAUGAAAUUUAAAGAUUAGGAACUUACUAUAAUUGAAGAAUAUGACUUUUUCUUAUCACCUGUUUUCCUCAUAUCAUCUGCCUUCAUUACUACAUCUCCAAUGAAAGGAUUUAGCUGCUCAUGAUCAUAUUACACCCUAUACACUAAAUUAAACUAAACUAUGAAUAAUUUAUUAAAAAAAUCCGAACAAUUUUAAUCAAAGUUUUUCUCACUAACUCUAUAUCGUGUACCUCCUCCUAUUCUCUCUUAUUUUCAUGUAAUAAAUAACCCUAAAAAACAUUAUUAAAUUUCCUAAAAUAUAUAAAAAUAAGAGAAAGAGACGAAUAGGGUAAGUCUCAGAGUGAAAAUUUGGAACCUGCAACACAGAAAAUUUUGAUUCCUCCAUUGUAGUGUUAGAUUGCAUUUCAACACUUGCUCAAACCUUCUUGACCUUUGAAAUGCCUCUAAGUCUUGUAUCAAAAUGUGCUCCCCUACAUCAAAUCAUAUCGACUUUCAUUUCAACAAUAGCCUAAACCUUUUGGACCCUUGGUUGUUGUAAUGGGUGAUUUCGAUACCUUAUCGUGGUGUUAGAUUGCAUCCAAUAGAGGAGGACUAGAAGCUUCACUUACAGUCAUUUAUUAGAAUAGAAUAUUUUGAUACCAUGAGGUGCUAGUAUUGAAUUAUUCAAUAAGAGCCCAAUCUAGUAUUCAAAAACCUAUUUCUAUAUAAGGAAACACAUUGGUUUUGAGUACUAAUCAACUAUUACCAUAAUAGCUUUCUCCAUGAAUUUUCAAGAACCUCUGGCAUUGGCUUUUUGGAAGGAAAGAGAAAACUAGCUGGAUACAUAAUUCAAAUAAGACGCUUAAAUAUUUUUUUUUUUCAUGGAAAAACAAAUGAAUCAUAACAAAACUGCUAUAAGAACUAGGUGCUAUGUAUAUUCUAAAAUCCACAAUCAUGGAUCUACUAGACAAUAAUUCAGUGACCCAGGCAAUUAUUCCUUUUUGGCAUCACAGGAUACUGAAGGUAAAGCGUUCUCUUCCAAACAAACUUUUUGAAUAGUUGAAUGGUAACUUAAUGAAGUGCUCAUGAGUCAAGGUUUCUCAGAUGCUCAAUUCAUCUGGAACAUUUGGAGAUAUGAUGAUAGACAAGUAGAUCAAAUCGAAAUUCUGAAUUAUUCACAAGCUGUCCAGACCCAUAUGAGAACAACUGUCAUUUAUUUGUCUUGAAAAUUCUAGGUGAGUAUUUAUGACACAGCAAUGUUUUCUUGGACCAUGCAUCAUAUUUUAGAAAUGUUGAAUGCACCUCAGCGGCAAUCAAGGUCUUCAAUUCUUUUCAAAACUGUAUCCAGGACAUAGGAAAGAGACAGAAGUAUUGACAGGCAACCAACUUCAAUAAAAUCAUUCAACAACCAAAUGGCUCAUAGUGAGUUUUCUGGCUUUGGGAGGACCAUUGUUUUCUACUUUAUAACUAUUUAUGAGCACUAUACUGUGCUUGUUCCUUCAAAAAGUAAAAUAAAGUUUAAAAAGUUAGAUUUUUUGUUGAAUGAAGGGAUGAAUUUUCUACUUGUGUUUAGUGGUAUCCAGAACUAAAUAUCUCAGCUAAGAAAUCCAAUAUCUAGCAUUAUUUGAAGUCCUCUUGCGUAGGUCAUGGGGAGUUUGCUACACCUAUGGAACAUGGUUUGGGAUAGAGGGGUUGUUGGCUGGUGUCAAGAUCUAUGAAAAUAGCUCAAUCAUCAGAAAAGCUUGUGAUUUUCUACCAUCGAUAUAGCUUGAUUCUGGUGAUUGGGGAGAGAGUUACCUUUCAUGCCAAAUCAAGGUAACAGUUAAAGCUAUCUAAGUUGACAGUGUGAUUUUAACAUCUGUUGAACCAAAAUAAAGAGUCUUCUCAAAUUUUAAUAAAUAUUAGCUAUGGAAAUAACACUUGAUGAGAAAAUGGAAUACCAAGGAUACUAAUUCAAUACUUAUCAUCACUUCACUUUUAACAUUAAAUUAGAACAGGCAGGGAUAGAACCAACUCGGCUGCAUUUUGCAGCAAAGGUGCUCAUUAAUUCCCAAAUGGAAAAAGGAGAUUUUCCACAACAGGUUAGAUAUCUUAGCUUUCAACUAAUUAUAUACCAGAAGAAGUUAGUUUCCGAAUGAGAAAUUUAUGUAAUUUGAGUAAUUUAGAGUCGUGUUUUGUUUUUUUUCAAUGAAGAAAGGCAUCGUGCCUAAACUAUACAGAUGUUACACAAAUUUUUCCUAUCAAUCUUAGUAAGUUCAAAUAUGUGGUAUCUGCUUAUGAAUUUUUAUUUUUAUUUUUUAUCUGCUGUGGGAUUACUUUUAUGAGAUUUUUAAUGUACUGAUUAAGCAUUUGUUUGCUUCCAUUACCAGAGAAAUUUCUGAAGUUUAUUUCUUGUUUAUGCUUGUAUUUUAGGCAACUUAAUAUAGAAUAACCGGGCACUAAAUCCGGUUUAUUUUUCUUAUUUCAUUCCCAUGCUAAAUGAUUAUCCUAACAGCUCAUGAUUACACUGUCAAAUUUUUAUAGCGUGAUAAUAAUUUAGAGAUACCUUUAAAUACAAAAUGGAUCAUCAUGUUCUUAUCCUAAUGAUCAUAUACUAAGCAUUAGUAUUGAUGAUUAGGUAGUUUGAUUAAGAACUCAAAUCUAGUCAGAACAAGAGGUUAGUGUGAAACCCAUCACAAAAUUCGAUUGGAUGUCAAACCUAGUCCAAGAAUUCAACUACAUAAUUAAACUACAUAAUUAGCAAGCAUCUAUCCUCAACUAAUGUGAAAACUGCAACCAUUAUCCUGGAGUGCAACAAGCAGCAACUUAAACUUUUAGUCAUAAAUACCUCAGAACCACAAAGAAGUCAGGCACAACAAUUUAGUUCUUCUUGGUUUUCUCACUGCAACCAAAAAAGACAAAUUAUUUCAGCACAGCUAAGUUCACCAUGUUGAUGUAUAUGAACAAUGGCAGCAUGCACAUCAUUAACCAUAUCAACAUUGUAAGCCAUUGGAUUGAACUCAUGAUGAAAAGAUUGAUCAUCUAGAAGAUUCAGUAAAUUCCAUUGAAGUACUGGGAUAUGAGACCUAGGGAAUGCCCAAGAAAAUUUCAAAUAUUUAAAAUGCUCAGAACAAGUCUGAAAUUCAGACACUUGUUCUCUAAAAAUUUUAACUAAAAUGUUAGAUGUUGAAGUGAAAAAAGCAACAGACUAGAAUAGGGAACCAUAACAACAGAUUAAAAAAUAUAUAAAAUAGAAAUGAAUUUAAGAUUAAAAAGAGAAACUACAUGAUGUUUUCAUUAUUUAACAGACUAGAAUAGGGUAUUAUAACAACAGCUUUAUGAAUAUUUUUUUGCUCUUCUUGAAGUUCCAUUUCCAGAAAUUACACAAACAUAACAUAUUGUUUCAAAUCCUAGCAGAGGGCAGUAUGGUGCAAGAGAUGCAAGCUGAAUUGGAGGAAGAUGAAGGAAGCGACAACUGACAAUAUGGUGGUGACAUACCAAUCUGAUGAGCCAUUUUAGUGGAUAUGCAAAGGGAAAGUCAUUGUCAAAUUGAAAGUUCAUCCUAAUACCAUUUCCCAUAGUGGGAGCCAUUGCGAUGACAAACCGAUAGGGAAAGGAAACCUGAUGUGAAUCGAUACCAAGAGUAGCCAUUGUUGAAUUUUUCAUAGCACACCCUGAAGAAGUUAGCUCUUAUCCUUUCUAUUGAACCGUUUCAAACACCACGAUCCACUAUCGAUUUGAAAACCAAAAGUGAGCAAAAUUGGCAAAUAGUAAAAGGUUUUCUAUCGAAAUGAAUGGAUCUUAGUUCAAUGUCAGCCGGGCAAUCCAAUGACAAGCUGUAAAAUCCAAAUUUAUGCAUGGAUCAAAUAAAACUUUGAUUUGGAGAGGAAUCUUAAGUGGAUUGGGACCUGUCUAAGCCAGAACAUGACAUUGAAAUUUGAAGAUGAAGAAAAGGAAUUUUGACAUCAGAACCCACAACAAAGACAAGGAUUUUGAUAGUGAAACGAAAAGGCAUGCUACGAAGCUUAAUAGAAAUAUCCAAUAACGAUUCAUAUCAGUUUAAACGGAUACUAUUUCUGAUGGCAGACUCCUUUAUAUCCUCUUUCCCAGUGGCUUCACCUCCGAUGUCAGUUUUUCAACUAAGUUAUAAGCUCUUUUUGAUUAAUUCCAUCAUUAUUGGUUUAGAAGCUAAUUGGUCUUUGACAAAGCAACUCUUAUUGCUAAGGAAACAUUAGUGUUUCAUUUUCAUUUAUAUCAGCAAUAAAAGAUACAAUCAAAUCAAUAAACCAAAAGUUGGCGCCAUAGUUGAUCAAUUUUGAAAAUUAGUAGUUGUUGAUGCAUUUUUCUUCUAUUGUCUAACCAUUUUGUAAAUAUAUUGUUGUACAUUUGUUAGUUUUAUAUUUGCUUGUUUUUGUUUUUGUUGUUUAGUUGAGCUUGGGAAAGAAUUCUUUGGUGCAUGCUGUAUUGUUGGAUCAGGAACACUAGUGGAAGACUAGAAAGUGUUCUUGUAGAGUUAAAUCCAAAUCAAACCAUGGAAGGUCCACAAGACCAAACAACCAGAAUAUACCUAUGAGUGAGCCAUUCCAGCACUUUCAGAUCCAUGAUGGACUAUUUGAAUCCGAAAAUAAUGCCAUCUCCAUCUUCCUUCAUCCCUCAAAUAGAGUAUGCCAAGGUUUGUUCCCAACUUGUACCUUUGCUAUCAAUUUUUAGAGGAUGUCAAGGAGAGAAUCCCUACACUCAUUUGAAGGAGAUUGAAGAAAUUUUUUCUACAUUAAUUUCAAGACUAGAAUGUCUCCAUGAACCUAAUGAGAAUGAAGCUUUUUUUUCCUCUAACUUUGAAAGACAAAGCAAAAACCUGGUUUAACCCAUGGGGCCAAAGAAUAUACAGAUCACCUAGAAUGAAUUUCAAGCUCUGGAGACAAGAGAAAAAUGUGUAAUGAAGAAUCAGAGAUAGCUCAAAUCCAUGCCAUAUGUGAAUCAAGGGAGCAUACAGCACAUGAAUGUCCUACCAUUCCCAUCAUCAAAGAAAUUUUGAUGAACAACUACUGUGACUGGAAUGUCAGCUAGGAUAACAUAUUCAGACAACAGAAAAAUUGUCCAUUCUCAAAUGCAAACAAUCCAAAUUGGGGGAACACCCUAUUUUAUACUGGAGUAACCUAGUCAAUUUUCAAGGGAGUUAGGAAUAUCAGGGCAGCAAAAGCAAUUUCAAUUAGUUUAAUCAAGUUUCUCCGCCUUAAUUUUAGAAUCCACCCCAUGUUCAAAAUUAACAGAGUUCUAGACCUCCAUAAACUUCUGCCUCAUUUGAAGCUUUGAUAUUUAUUGAGGAGCAGGGGAAAUGUAAUGAAGAAGUAGAAGGUCAGCUGCUGAGCAACGAAAGUGGAAUGAUGAGCAGUGCAAGUUUAAUGCAUAAAAAUCACAGGUUAUUACAAAUAUCUAGAUGACUAUGAACAAAUUGAAUCUAGAGAGUAAAUGGGGAGAAAGGGAAGUUCCCUGCUCAACCUUAUCAAAAUCUAAAGGCCAUAUGUGAAGUGAAUGGUCAAGCAUGCUUGUCAUGUGAUCAUCAAGAGGUUAAAGCAGUUGUUACCUUGUGAAGUGAGAAGGAAUUAAGAGAAGCUGAGCAAGAAAAAAAGAAUGAAUCUGAGAAGCAGGAAGUUGUCCCUGAUAAGCCUAAUUCCUCAAACAAAAUGAAGGAGAAUGAGGAGAGUAAAGAGCAAGGAAAAGUUGAUUAAUUUGUCCUUGAAUAAAGAGCAUAGUUUUAGUACCUUUUUCUCAAGCUCUAAAGGGAAAAAAGAAAAAAUAAAUACAAUAAGGUAUUGGAAGUAUUGAAACAGGUGAAAGUAAAUAUUCCUUUACUUGAAAUGGGGAAACAAGCGUUCGUUUAUGCAAAAUUUCUGGAGGACCUAUGCACGGUGAAGACAAAGAUGUCCAUAGACAAGAAAGCAUUCUUAUUGAGCAAGUUAGUGCAAUCAUAGAAUAAACUCCAGUAAAAUACAAGGACCCUAGAUGUCCUACCAUAUCUAUCACUAUUGGUGCGACACUUAUGGAAAAAACACUAUUGGAUUUCGGAGCAAGUGUUCACUUGUUACCUUAUUCUUUGUAAUCAUAAGUUGGACUUGGUGGAAAUUUGUUUCAAUAGUAGAGGAAGAUUCAUUAGAAUUUCGAAUACAAACAGAAAAACUACUUCUCUGAUUGUUCUUGAAGAUGUCAAAGGUAGAGGAUAGGGAGCCCUAAGGAAGUCGAUAUUCUUUGUGUCAAAGAGCCCUUUUUGUUCUAUCACUAGAACAGAGGAAUUGGAAGCAAAAGUGAAGAACAAAGCGGGGUUGGUAAGGUGGUCUGGGGAUAGGUCUUAUGCAAGAGUGGUUGACGAGAACGGUCCAAGGAAAUGAGUUUUCUUACCAGUUGGAAAGUGGGCUAUAACUGUGAUUUUUGAAGGCCAAGUUUUUGUUCAAGAUUGGGGUGUUAUAGGUAAGGCUCUUGCAAGAAUGAUGGGGGUUAAAGAAAUGAUUUCCAUAAACCCUUUUUCAACUUUCAAAGAUGUCUUCUUUGUGGAUUCAGUCAAAAGAGCGAAGUGGCUUCAAGCGCGAGGAAAACUGGUUUUAAGAGGAGUGGUUUUUAGAUUACGAAAAUGGUCACCAAGAGAAAAUACAAUGGUUCUUGGAAAAUUCAGGAGGGAUUGGAUAGAGUUGCAGCCCCAUUCCAUCUAUGGAAUGAAAACCAGUUACAAUUCAUUUUGAAGAAUUGGGGGAAGGUGAUAGAGGUGGAUGGAGAUACUUUACAGCUUAUAGAUUUAACAAAAGUUAAAGUGAAGGUGGAAAUGAAUCCAAACAUGGUGUUGCUGGCGUUGUUGGAGGUGAUAGAUGGUGCCUGAUUUUUUAUAAUUGCAGUCUCAAUCAUUAGAGGGGAAGAAAAAGAUGUACAGAGAAGUUGGAGUUAACUUGCUACAAAAGCGAGUCAGCUUCAAUGGGAGAUGACAUGGCGUAGGGCCCUUCACAAGCUUUGAGGACACAUAGUAAGGCUUUGAUAGUUUUGGGGAACAACUGCCACUCACUCUUUCUUGUCUCUAACACUAUUUCAAACCCCAAAUAAACCCUAAUAGUGCUUCUUCCCCGGUCAGGUGUUUGUCUCGGGAGUCAAGUCCUGCUCAAUUGGAGGAUUUCCAUAUUGAAGGCAUUUCUCCUUCAAAAAUAUCUUCCAUCAAGUCGGUUUUGGGUACUUUGAAUGUCAAAAUUUUCAAAUACAGUAAAAAUGGAGUUUAGUUGUCCAAAAGCAAUGGUUGCUUAUUGGAAAAGGUGUAUUCCAAAAGAAAGAACAUAACCUCUUUAGGCGCCCCUAGCCUUUUUUAGUUUUCUAGGUACUUUGGUGUCUUCGAGGUUUUUUCAACUUUUAUGGAAAUUAUUAGUUAGAAUAUUAAAGGUAUUAGUUCCAAAAACAAAAAAAGAGUAGUAAAGGAUUUUCUUUGUCUUGAAAAUCCAGAUGUUGUCCUGUUGCAAGAAACAAAGAGAAAGUCUUGUGAUAGGAGGUUUGUGAGUAGGGUAUGGAAGGUCAGAAACAAACAGUGGGCAAUUCUUCUAGCUAGUGAGGCUUUGGGAGGAGUGGUAAUCUUUUGGGAUGUUUUGAGGUUUAAGUGCUUGGAGGUUGUUUUAAGAUCUUGCUUUAUGACAAUCAAGUUGGAGUUAGAGGAAGAAGAGUCAUUCUGGUUUUCUUCAGUUUAUGGUCCUAGCCUGUCACACUUUAGAAAGGAUUUUUGGUUAGAGCUUCAAGAUCUUUCAGGCUUAACUUUUCCAAAAUGGUGUGUUGGUAGGGAUUUUAAUGUCAUAAGAAGAAUUUCAGAAAAGUUAGUGGGUUCCAGGUUAAUCCCAAGGAUGAAGGAUUUUAAUGAUCUUAUAAGAGUGUCAAUUAAUUGAUAUGGCUCUGAGUCAUGCAUCCUUCACUUGGUCUAAUUUGCAAGAAAACCUCAUUUGCAAAAUAUUGGACAAAGUCUUAUUUUCUAGAGAAUGGAAGCAAGAUUUCCCUCAAUGCAUCUAAGAAGCUCUCCCCAGAUUGGCGUUGGAUCAUUGUCCAAUUCUGUUAGAUAAGUGGGGGCUGACACCUUUUAGAUUUGAAAACAUGUGGUUGAUUCAUUCAAAUUUCAAGGAUAUUAUAGGUUGUUGGUGGAAUGAGUGUUGGUUUGAAGUGUGGGAAUGUCACAAAUUCAGGAAAAAGUUACAGUUUGUCAAGUCAAAAUUGAAAGAGUGGAAUAAGGGUUCUUUUGGAGACUUAAAAGGGAAAAAAAUAUUCUUGCGGACAUAGUGGGUUUAGAUGAGAAAGAACAAGAAGGGAAUUUUUCUUCGUCUAAUCUAGUAGUAAGAAAGAUGUCAAGGAAUGGGAAGUUGGAAGAUGUGUUGUUAAAGGUAUUUUAGAGAUAGAAAUCUAGAGUCAAAUGGAUAAAAGAAGGGGAUUGCAAUUCAAAAUAUUUUCAUAAGGUGACCAAUGGUAGGCGGAAUAGAACGUAUAUUAAAUCCUUGGUGACAGAAAAUGGGGUAAUCUUAAAUAACAUUGAAAACAUUUAAGAAAAGAUUAAGCAUCAUUUUGGGAAGUUAUUUCCAAGACUUUAGGUGGUUCUUGGAGUAUUGAAGUUUUGGAUUGGUCUCUUAUUUCAACAAAAAGUGUCGAGUGGUUGGAUCGUCCUUUUUUGAAAUAGGAGAUUCACAAUGUUGUGUUGAAUUUAAAUAAGGAAAUGGCCCUUAGGCCAAAUGGAUUCACAAUUUCUUUUUAUCAAGUAUGUUGGGAUGCAUGUUGAGAGACGAUUAAGGAUGAUCUUUUAAGAGUGUUCUUAGAGUUUCACAACAAUGGAAUAAUCAAUCAAAGCACGAACGCUACCUUCAUUGCUCUAGUGCCAAAAAAGAGUCAAACAAGUGAGAUCUCAAAUUAUAGACCCAUCACCUUGGUAACUAGCUUAUACAAAUUCAUAGCCAAGGUUUUUUCAGGGCAGAUGCAUAAAUUUCUCCAAGACACCAUCUUUUUAACCCAAGGUGUUUUUGUUGAGGGAAGACAAAUUUUGGAUCAUGUCUUGGUUGCUAAUAAGUUGGUGGAUGAGAAAAGGAGAUCAAGAGAGGAAGGGGUAGUCUUCAAAACUGAUUUUGAAAAGGCCUAUGAUCACGUUGAUUGAGAUUUUUUGGACCAUGUAAUUGAAAAAAAAAAGGGUUUAUAGUUCAAAAUGGAGGUCUUGGAUGAGAGGAUGCUUCUCUUCGACGACUUUUGCAAUCUUAGUAAAUGGAAACGCUAAAGAGUGGGUUAAGGCAUUCAAAGGCUUAAGAUAAGGACAUCCCCUUUCCCCUUUACUUUUCACCUUGGUAGCUGAUGUCUUAAGCAAAUUCAUUGUGAGAGCAGAGGAAAGAGGUUUAUUCAAGGGGUUUCUGGUGGGUAGAAAUAGAACCAGGGUGUCUCAUUUAUAAUUUGCGGACAACGUUAUCUUUUUUUUCUAGAGCAUCCUUUGAAGAGUUGCAUUCUCUCAAGCUAAAUUUGUUGGUGUUUAGGCAAUUAUCAAGGCUAAGGAUUAAUCUAAAUAGAGCACUAUCUCAGGAAUUAACAUUAGUCAAGACCAAAUUGCAAGGUUGGUUUCUUUGCUUGAAUGUGCAAUCUUAUAUUAGGCUUUAAUGUAUCUGGGUCUCCUUUUAGGGGGGAACCCAAAUUCGCUCUCAUUUUGGGAUCUAGUGUUGGAUAGAGUCUCUAAAAGGUGGGAUGGAUGGAAAAAAAAAAUAUUUUUGUCCUUAGAAGGUAGAAUCACCCUAAUUCAGUCUUGAAGCACAUUCCAAGUUAUUUUCUUUCCCUUUUCAAGGUUCCAACUUCAAUAGCUUUGAGGAUCAAAAAAUUACAAAGAGAAUUUCUAUGGUUAAGCUAUGAGAAGGGUAAGAGAGAUCAUUUGGUCAAUUGGGACAUGGUCUGUAAGCCUAAGGAGUCUGGCGAGUUAGGGUUUGGAAAAAUCUCUUUAAGGAACCAAGCUUUAUUAGGGAAGUGGCUUUGGAGGUACCUUAAGGAAGGUUUUUCCCUUUGGUAUCAGGUUCUCUAGAGUAUCUAUGGGACACAUGAUAAUGGAUGAGACUCCAACAAUAUAAUCAAAUGGUUACAUCGUUGCCCUUGGAAGACCAUUGCUCAUAUUUUUCAAGUCUUUUUUACACACACUCGUCUCUUAGUAGGUGAUAAGACCAGAAUUUUUUUUUAGGAAGAUCUAUGGUGGAAGGACCAACCUCUUUAUUUACAAUUUCCAAGACCUUUCAAAAUCACCACUACUAAAACUCGUCUUAUUUCAACUAUUAUGGGUAACAACACUUCAUUGUAUUGGGAUCUAGUCUUUAGAUGUCAUCCAACUGAUAAAGAGAUUAUAGAUCUUGAAAAACUAAAGUCCUUACUUUCCCUUAUUCACUUGACUCUUUUAGUUCCAAAUGCAAAAGCUUGGAUAUCAUUUUUGGGAAUUUUCUUAGUUAAAUAAAUUUUUUCAACCUUAUCCAUUGUCUCAAAUUUCGUUCCUUUCUAUCGAACUAAUUUUUUAUGGAAAUCAAAAGUCCCCUCUAAGGCCAGGGCCCUUGCUAGGUUAGUGGCACAUAAAAAGGUAAAUAUUGUUGACAUGUUGUAGUUUAGAGGACCUUUUAAAACUUCAUCCCUGAUUGGCUCAUUCUUUGUAGGAGCAACAAAUAAAUGAUUGAUCAUCUUUUCUUGUAUUGUCUUAUUACUUUAGGAUUGUGGUAUAGGAUUUUUUUCACAGGCUAGGAUGGAGUGGGUUCAACCAAGCAGUAUUUGUGAUAUGAUAGUGAUUUCUUUCAAGUGUUUUAGGAAUUCUAUUAGAGGAAAGACUCUUUGAAGGAUCGUGUGUGUCUUUCUGUUAUGGAUUUUGUGGAGAGAGAGGAAUGCUAGGAUUUUCGAGGACAUUUGGAAGACGUCAGAGACGAUGUGAGAUCAUCUUCAUUUUUAUGUUUCUUUUCGGCUUACCGUAUAGACAUUUUUAAACCACAUCCUUUGAAUGUAAUCCAACUUAGUUGGUUAUCGUUAUGUACACCUCAAGGUUAGGUCUAUAGGGUCAGGAUUGUUUUACUUGUAUUGGCCUUUUGUUCCUUUUAUAUAAACUUCCUUGGUUAGUGGAGAUUUACUUAGUUCUUUUGAUCAAGCUUGUAUUUCAUAGGGAGGAUUCCUCAUACUUCUCAUGUUUUUUUUCUCAUUUAAUACAUAUCUUUUGUUUCUGAUAAAAAAAUGGUAAUAAAAUGCAUUAAUAACCAUUAAUCUAAAGAUAAAAACCAUACAUGUGAUUUGAAUGGUCCCUGAUUUAUUCCAGUCGAUGAAAAAGUUGGUACAAAUCUAAAAAAUAAGGGAUCUUAUACCCGGUGGCUCUCUUUCCUAGAUUUAAUUAGGAGUUAGUAUACUAUAAUAAUUUAAACCUUUUUAUUACCCAUACAUGGAAUAUAAGAAGAAAAUAAGUUUGAUGAACCUAUCAUAUAGUUUGUAGCCCUUGAAUAUAUAACCAAGAAGUCUAAUUUUGUGCUUUUAAAAUGAUGGGUAACAAGGAAGAAAAUAAGUUUGAUGAACCUAUCAUGUGGUUUAUGUCCCCUUAAUAUGUAACCUAGAGGUCUAAUUUUGUGCUUCUAAAAUGAAGGGCAAUAAGGAACUUGUCUAGGCCAAAUUUGCUGAAGAUGAUGGAUUAGAAGAGAUUUUUUUUACUCAUAAACCUAUAGAAAUUCUCUACUUGCUUUUUAGUAAAGGCUGUCAAUUCAAAAAGGCUUGUAUGUGUUGCAUUUUGAGUUUUUUUCCCCCCCUAAUAAGCAAUAACUUGAAGGUUCUAAUUGUUGUAAUUAGUUGUCUUGUCAUCUCUACCUAUGAUAGAGGAUUUUUUUUUUGUUGGGAUUGGUGGGGUUACAAAAGAGUUUCCUAAUUUUUCUAAUGUAACAAACAUCUUAAACUAAAUAGAUAGUUGAAAUAGGCCAGAAAAGGCUAGCAAUGAAUACUGGAACAAGCUAGCGAUGAAAGCCAACAAUUAGAGAAGAACACCACAACAACCCUAGAACCUUAUAGAUGGUUAUAAUACCAUGAUGGAAAUUGGAAAAAAAAAAAAAAAAACCUUUUUUCUCUCUUGUGUUGAUUCAAAAGAAUUUCAUGAUAUUUAAAAACAAUAUAAUAGUUAAGGCUAGACUAUAGUCGUACAAAAAAUUAACAGAAAGAAAAAAAAAAGAAUACUAAGAAUAUUUACAGAAUACACAAGGGAAUUCUAUUGAAAGAAGAAAUCAAUCAACAACUAUAUAUAUAUAUAUAUAUAUAUAUAUAUAUAUAUAUAUUCAUUUAGAUUGUAAGACAAAUUGAUAGAACCAAAUUUAUGAUGUUAAAAAAUAAAUAAAAAUAUUAAGCACAAUAAAAGGAGAAACUUUAGCUUUAAAAUCUGGAAUACUAUUUGGUUUUCUUGAUUAUGGAAGAUUUAAACUAGUAAAACUUUGUUCAGCAUGAUCAUUAUCAUAGUAUUAUUUUUAUAUUAAGUUUGUGUUUAUGUUCACUUUUAUAUAGCUCUUUUUGUAUAAGAUAUAAGAAGUUAAGUAGCUUAUAAGUUGAACUCUAAUUGUUUAUAUAAUUAAGAUUUCUCUAAACCUUUAUUAUGAAGCAUUCUUUAAAUUUUUUUGUUUUAUUUCAUUUCAAGGGCACUAAAUUAAAGUUAUUUUUAGUUUAUGGAAGCUUAAUUAUUUAUUAUUAUAUUUAAAGUUCUAAAGUUCAAGACAUUUGGAAAAUGGGAGUCACUUCAAGUCUUAAGCUCUUUUAAAUUUACUUCAAUAGUUGAUGAACAUUAUAAAUUGAUUACUAUCGCUAAUGUUUUCAUACAUUUUGAAGUAAUUUAGUGGACAUUGUAACCCUUAAUUAGUCAAGUUUGCAUUAUCCCUCCAUGCGGGCAUUUCUCAUGGUUUUUAAGUUUUAUUUAAAACUUUGUAGGUAUUUUCCUUCAAGAUCUCAAACUAAAAUGGCUUAGGAAGAUAACUUUCACUGUUGAAAUGAUCUCAAAGAGUUUAAGAAGGCUACAUAAAGGUUUGGAAGUGACAACAAAGUAGCCAGAUAAGAGCAAGCUCACAUAACUCCUCUAUAAACCUAAUUUCAACCAAUCUGAAGUUUGCAAUUAUUUUAGGGGGAUAUAUCUGCCCAAAUUGAGUGAAAUAAAUUUUGAUAUAUUCUAGAUUCAUUGAGAAUGGAUUUACCAAUUUUCCUCAUAUUUUGAGAUCAUUUUCCUUACCACAAAAAUCACAUAAUUAAAAGUAAAAAUAAAAAAUUUUGUUGAAGGUGAAGGGAUUUAAAGCCUAAUUGGAGAAGACUCAAACAUGGUUAUAAAGGCCUAAAACAUCUUCCUACAAGAUAGGGUUUGGAGAAUAUAUAUCUAAACAUCUUUUAGCUUUUGAGAAAUGAGCUUUUUAAUACGUUUGGAGAGGGCAAUAAGGAAAAUAAAAUGAGAGAAAAUGAAUGAAAAAACACAGAUUUUCUCAUUCAACACACAUAUGAAUAUUUCCUUGAGUUUUCUUUCCUUCUUUGUUUGAAUAGAAUUAGAAACUUGAUCAUCUUUGAUCUAAGUGUCUUGUGGUGUUUUGAACUUCAAGUUUGGGUCAUCACAAAAAAGGCUUACUAUUAUAACUAAGAUAAGAACCUUUUUAGGAUUUUUUGGUUAUUAUAAACGUUUCAAAGAGGGAUUAUUUAAGAUUGCCCUACCUCUAAUUGAACUUACUUAGAAGGAAACCGAGUUUAUAUGGUCUGAUGAAUGUGGGAAUAGUUUUGAAGAGUUGAAAAAUAUAUUGAUGACUACUUCGGUAUUGACUAUCCCUUCGGGUUUAAGAGGAUAUGUUGUCUUUAGUGAUGCAUCCAACUAAGGACUUGGUUGUGUAUUAAUGCAACUUAGGAAGGUUAUUGUUUAUGCGCGGAACUAUCCUACUCAUGACUAAGAGUUUGCAACUAUGGUUUUCACCCUUAAGAUUUGGAGACAUUAUUUAUAUGGUGAAACAUGUGAGAUUUACAUAGACCAUAAAAGCAUAAAGUAUUUAUUUUCUCAAAAAGAAUUAUAUAUAUGAGAAACGAAGUGGAUUGAGCUCCUUAAGGACUACAAUUGUUCUAUCCUAUAUUAUCAUAGCAAGGUGAAUGUAGUUGUUGAUUCUUUGAGUGAUUGCACUGGACUAUGUAUAAAUAAUUUGGCAGGUAUCGAAGCUUAGAGAAGGGACCUUAUAGUGCAAGUGAGAUGGAAAAAUUAAGAGAAUGAAACAUGGGGGUGAAAAAUUCUUUCUUGACAUCUUACUCAUAACAAGAAGGUUGUUGGAAAAUGGCUUUAUGAAAAACAAGAAUUAGUUGAAACUUUUUAACUAAUGGAAACUAAUAGUUAAGGAAGGGAGAAUCCCCAAGGCCCUUUCGUUACCAUGGAAUGAUCCUUGUUAUCAAUAUCUCAACUAGAAGUGUUCACUUAUCAAUUAGAUCCCCUUUACAUAAUCCCAAAUUUUCCUAUAGAAUUAAUGAUUUGAAAAUUGUUUUCCUAGGCUUACAUAGGGUUGUUCCAAGUCAAAAUGGCUUCCCCAUUAAGUGUUUGGAAUAUCUUAUGGGUACCCUAGGCUCUAAUCUCUAAUUAGGUAUAAAAAAUUAAUGUUUUCUUAAUUCCCAAUGUCUCAACCAUUUGCUUAAUUGUGGUAUUUAGAGUUGCAUAAAGAUUUACCCAAGUAAAAAUGACUUUACCAUUAAGUACUUGGAAUACCCUAUUAAAACACUAUAAUCUCCUAUUGUCAAAUACUAAGAUAUGGUCCUUUCUAUUGAAUUAAAGGGAUUCAAUGACAAACUACUUCAAAUUAAAAACAUUUUUGAAUCUAAGGUUACAUUCCAAUGAAAGAAUGGAAAGCCCUAGGGCUCCAUUUCCUCAAACCUCAAUAAUUACUUAAUAGACUUUGGAUGGAAAUUAACUUGAAAGAUUGAAAUGAAUAAGAAAUUGAAAAUCAAAAUGAAAUUGCAAUAAUCAAGAAUAUUGAAAAGAUUCGGUGACACUGUAAAAAAAUUAAAAUAAAAAAAAUAAAUAAAAAAUAAAAAAUUAAAGACAAAGAUAGUGAUGUAAAUAAAGAACAAGAAAAUAAAAAGAACCUAAAACUAAAAGUAGUUCCAAGAUUGCCUCUUCCCAACGUUGAAUCUAAGAACCGAACAAGAACAUGUAAGAAUUUCCCCUCUAAUGGAGAAAAUCCAAACCCCAAAAGAUGGUUGCCACCAUUUCCUUUUAUAGCUUCCCCUUCAUUUAAAAGCUUUUUGGUGGGCUUAAGUGAGGGUUACAUGUUGGGCCAUGAGGAAGGCCUAGAAGUGGCAAAUUCAUAGCAAAGGGGUGCAAGGCUAUAGGUGACACCCUUAUGGCGGUCUUAUGCUAUGACAUAACUCUUCUUUUUGUAAUUGGCUUCUAAUCAAUUUAUGAGACUUGGUCAGCUUUCUGUUCAAGAAGUGAGUAAUUGAACAAAAUUGGUUUCAUCCCAAUUAGACAUUUAUAACCCCCUCAACUACUACAAGACAUUAUAUUGGUUGAAUAGGGAUAACACCUGAGAGUUGAAAACAACAUCCUUCUUUCUUGAGUUGGUUUCAUGGGCAAAGGAACUCCCAAAAUUAUGAAAUUUGGUACAUCUAACUUUAAGAAGUCAGGAAUCUAUAAAAGGUAGUUACAACUCAUUUGGACAUCUCUAGCCUCUUCAACCACUUUAAAACAUCUUUUCGAUCAAAUAGGGAUAACACCUGUGAGCUUUGUUCACCUUUCAUCCUUAUACCUAGAAUGUCCUGAGAGGAUCUCAAGGUAAUAUUUAGUCAAAGAAUAUGGUUGAAUCAUCACAAACUUACAAGAAAUAUGCGAUAACCAAACAUACAUAAGAUGACAUAUAAUAACUUACUUUAAGAGUGCUUUUAAUGCUAAAAUCAAGUUAAAGAUGUGAUCAUUACCAAUGUUUUGAAAAUGGAUUGGACCGGUUGGUUCGACUGAUUGGACUGUCGAUUAGAACUUGGUCCAAUUUGGUUCAAGCUUUGAGUUGAAAAAAAUGUUGAACCAAUUACGAACUGAGCAGAUUGACGGUUAAACCACUAGGCCAGUGAAUCGGCUGGUUUUAGGCUAGUUUUUUUUUUUCUCUUUUUCUUCCACAUAGCCAACCCACUUAGGGCAAACAUUUAAUGAGUUGGUUUUUGGGGCAUGGUACAAUCAUUACCCCAUGCAAUAAAUGAACAAUACAAAUGUCUUAUUAUCCUCAUCGACUUACAAUAUGGGACGAAUAUUGAGUUUUUUUAUUUAAAAAAACACACACACACACAUGUAGAUGAAUUGAACCAUGGACCUUGAGUACAAGGAAUGUGGUUGUGACCAUUGUGUUCCUCAUGCUUGCUAUUGAAAAAGUGCAAAUUAAAAAUAAAAUAACCAAAUUGCUUUCAAAAAAUUUAUAAUAAGAAAUAUGUAAAAAAAAAAAAAAAAAAUCCUUGCACAAUUUAAAUACAAUUUAAAAUAUUCAUACAUUUAUAAUUAUAAAAGAUGAAAAAUAAAUAUUAUUAUUAUUAUUUAAUUUUUUUAACAUAUAUUUUAAAUUUUGUAAUUAAUUUUAAUUUUAAUAAUAUAUAAAUUAUAUAUUUAUGAUGUUACCGAUUCGAUCAAGGUUUAACCACCAAUCCGAUCAUUGAACUAUGAACUAGUAACUUUUCUGGUUCAAUGACCAGUUUGAUUCUAAAAACAUUGAUCAUUACCCUAUUUUUAUAUGAAAUAUGGAAUUAAUCAUUGAGUAAAAAUUCUAGUGGUUAUUUAGUUGCCCUAUAAGGAAGACAACCUCAUUUGUUGUGUGAUUUGAAUAUAUUGAAGGCCCCGUUCACAAUUUUAGAUUUUGAAGUACUAUUGACUAGUCUUGGUAUUUAGUCAAAUCUAAUUGCGAGGAUUAAGUCAUCAUAACAGGAAAGCUGGUGCAAAUCAUGGAUGGUGUUAAAAAAGGUACUAAACUCAACUUUAACACUUUCAAAUAAUGGGAUUUUGAAUAUUAGGACUAGACUAUGUGUGCCUUAAGUUAGAAAUUUGAGAAGAGAGAUUUUAUAAGAAGCACACAACUCUAAAUUUUCAGUUCAUCCUGGUGAGACUAAGAUGCAUAUAGAUAUAAGAUAACUUUAUUUAUGACAUGGAUUAAAUCAAGAUAUUGCUCAUUUUGUAGCACAAUGUUUAACUUGACAAGUCAAAGUUGAGCAAUAGUGCCUAAUUAGGCCAUUGCAACUACUUCCCAUUCCUAAGUGGAAGUGGAAGCAUAUUGCAAUGAACUUUGUUUCUAGACCACCUAAGUCUUUACUAGAUAACAAUGUGGUUUGGGUAAUUUUGAUAGAUUGACAAAAUCAACCCACUUUUUGCUUAUUUGGACCAUGUUUUCCCUAGAUAAAUUGGUCUUUUUGUAUGCUUAGGAAAUUGUAACAUUACACGGAGUUUCAAUGUCUAUUAUUUUAGAUAGAGAUAGUUAUUUAGCUUCUAGAUUUUGGAAAAGCUCACAAAAAGCUUUGAAGACUUAGUUGAAAUAUAACACUACCUUUCAUGCUCAGAUAGAUGCUUAGUUAGAAAGGAUGGUUCAAAAUUUAGAGGAUAUUUUGCAUGUAUCUUGGAUUUGGGAGGUAGUUGGGAAAAUCAUAUACUUUUGGUAGAAAUUGCUUCUAAAAAUAGAUAUUAUACUAGUAUUAGUAUGGCACCAUAGGAGGCUUUGUAUGAUAGAAGGUGUAAGUCCCCCAUUUUUUAGGAUGAAAUUAGUAAGAGGAAAUUGUUCGGUUCAAAGCUACUUCAAGUGACUGUAGAAAAAGUUGUACAUAGGAUACAAGUCAUAGGUUCCUUGUAAGUAGAUAAGUUGUCUAUAGUUAGUUCAUGGAUUUGGGCAAUCUAGUAGAGACUAUAAUACACUACCUUCUAAUUAGAGGAAUGACUUAUCUUGGGCAUCGAAAUGGGUUUCUCAUGGUGAGUGCACUAGUGUAUGAGAUGCAAACUGGAUAGGACCUAUGGUAUGGUGAAUCAUGAUGUAAGACUAUCAAUUAUCAUUAUUCACCAAGCUACUAUAUUGCAUGACCUUUCAACCUUGAGAAGAUAUUGAGUUUAUGCCAAAAUCAGGAGAAGGCUUUAAUCAAUGGGUAAGACCCUAAAGUGGUCAUAUAUCCCUAAGGAUUGGGUCAUUGUUAAUGAAGGCUGGUGGCAAUGGUAUUCUCAAUAGGGACACCAUGAUAUCUCAUGAGUUUGAGAAAACUUGUCCCAUUGGUUGAUCCAAAAGACAUGUGAUUAUGAAAUUUGUGGCUGCAAUAAUUCCUUCAGUGGAAUUUGACAUAUUCCUUUUUAAGCUAUGUCAGUUGAUAAUAUAAUAAAGAAGAUCGAUAAAUCAAUGAUUGGAAAGGCAAUUUUCAUAGUGAUAACACUACCUUGUUAUAUUACGGUCACUAGUUCAUGGGGAGUCUGCAUGGAGUGGAUAGUAACUCACAGACCUGAACUUCAUCUCAUUGUUAUUUACAUAAGGUACUAGGGUGUACUGACUCUCUAUAUUAGGAUGUUGAAUCAAUUUCAGAAUUGGAUUCUAAGGGAGCCAGUACUCCUAUGGCUCUAAUUGUCGAUGUUUUGAGCUCAAAUAUCAUGACAGUAGGGUUUAUGAAGGUUGGAUUGGCUCUAGGUUCACUCAUGUGUAUAAGGGUGUUUUGGUAAUUACACAAGAUUGCAUAAGGGAUGGUAAACAAUGUCUCUAAAUUGGGCUAAUUGAUUAAUUAGAUGACCUUGUAUGGUUAAUUAAUCAAUUAGGACUUGUUUUAGGCUAGAUUAUGUGACCCAAGCCCAUGUGGGCUCAAGUCACUUAAGUCUAGUAAUAUAACCAUAUAAAUACUCCUUAAGGGUUAGGGUUAGGGUUUCCAUGGCUUUAGACAGUCAUCUUCCACCUCGAGAGAGAAAUAAAGAGAGAGUCAAAUCUUUCUUCCUUCCAAAACCCAUCAUUUGGAGUGUCAAGGUCAUGAUAGGAGUCAUUGGACAGAAAACUUUGGGUAUACGAGACCUCCACAAACUACAAGCUUCUUUUUCAUCGACUUUGAUUCAACCUAGGAACAUCCAAAUCCUGGUACAAGUCUCUUAGUCUAUAGAUUUUCAGUUUUUAAUGUUUUUUUAAGCCAUUGUUUUCCAUUAUGUUAGAUCUAGAGAACCUUAGUGAUAAAUGCAUGUACCCUACGAGAUCCAGGGCCUAGGAGUAGAGUAAUCAAGGGUUCCCAAUAACAAAGCCCUAGGGUAGGUUAUUGCAUGCUAGAUCUAUUCUAGGAUAUGCUCACAUAUGUUUUAUAGGGUUGUUUUAUUCAUCCCAGAUCCCUAGGGAUAAAUGAAUGAAAUUCACUUUUAUUUGUUCAAUUAAAUGAAUGAAUAUAGAUGGAUACGAUAUCUGCAUUUUGAUUCUCUAAGUUGGGUUAUACACCCCAUAAGGGGUAUAAGAUUUUUAUUUUAUUAUAAAAAAAAAUUGUUUUUUCAAUAGAUGGGUUGUGAGCUCCAUUAUUGGAGCAUAGGAAUUUUUUAUUAUUGUAAUUUUUUUUAAUUCAUCUAUGGUGACUCAAGAGAAAAGAAAGAUUCUUGAAGUUUCUUUUUUAAGAUCCUAUCGUAACUAAAGAAAAAAUAAAGAUUCUUAGAAGUUCUUGUUUUGAGAUCCAUGCCAACAUAUUAAUAUUAACUUUGAAUCAAAAUUGGUGUUGUUUCCCAUAAGUUUCUUGGGGCAAACCACUUAUGGUUUUGAAGCUUAGGAAGUUAGAAAUUUAACGCUUCAAAUGGUUUGUAAAUCAGAGUUGAGACGAGAGAGAUAUGAUCGAUUGAAGCAAAAUUGGGCAAAGAACAUGUUGUUUCGGGAUUGCAUUUAGGCCAAAUUGGUUUUAGUCGUUUGGGCUUGAUUGGGCCUUUUUAGGGGCUCAUUUUUUGUUAGCAAUUGGGCUUUUUAGGGUGUUUUAAUUUUUACAAACCCUAAUAUUUGGUUGUAGUGCUAUUUUGGUAGUUUGGAUUUUACCCAAUUGUUAAUUACCAAAUAUGUAACAGGAUCUUUAAAGAACAUGAGAAAUAUUUAUUUAAUUAUUUCCUUGUUUUUAUUGAAUGUUAUCUUUAUUAAUUGCAUAUAUGACCUUAAGCUAUUUUGGUAUUUUUAAUUAGAAAUAGAUUUUCAUGAAUUUUUCAAAAUUAGAAAACUUAUUUAAAUUGGAAUGUGCCUGGUUUGAAAAUUUUAUUUUAAGAAAAGAUAAGUUGGAAAAUGAUUAAGAGCUUUCUUUCCUUUUUUAAAAAUUAAUUUUUAGAGAUUUUAAUUUUAUUUAAAAUCUUCUCAAAUUUUUGAGAUAUCUAAGAAUAUAUAUAUAUAUAUAUAUAUAUAUAUAUAUAUUUUAAGAAAAAGCUUUUGAUUUUCCAAAUAUUUAUAAAAUAACAUUUUUCCUAUUUUGCAUAAGAUUUCAUUUUAAAGAAAAUAAGUUAAUUUUGAAAAUUUAUGAUAAAUAAUUCAUAAUUAAGAAAGUUACCAAAAUAAGUGUUAAAACCUAAAGAAAAAUGUUUGGUAUUCUUAUUAAAUUUUCAUGAGAAAAUUUUUCCAAAAUUAUUUAUUUAAACAAGUAGUUGUUAAUAAGAAAAAUAGGAGAAAGUUCAGUUUGAAUAUAGAUAGUUCGUCGUGGGCGCUUUGGUGAAUGCACUAUAAGGCUAGGGUAUGCGCAUUUCCUAACAACAAUUACUUUUAGGAGAGUUGGUAGCGUUUGAGGUCUUACAAGUGGUAAUAGAGCCGAGGUCAUGGGUUCAAACCCCAAAGGUGUCAUUGGGUGGGGGAGAGAGAGAGAGAGAGAGAGAUUGUUGGCAAAUCGAAGGAUUGACAACAUUCAUCAACUCCCAUUAUGUUCGUCGUGGGUGCUUAGGUGAGUGCACUAUAAGGCUAGGGUAUACGUCUUUCCUAACAAUAAUUGCUUUUAGGAAAGUUGGUAGCGCCUAAGGUCUUACAAUUGGCUUCUCAUUACUUCCCAUAUUCUUUUGGAGAUAUGUCUUAAAGACUAUGUAAUACCUCUUUUUUCUUAAGAGAUAUACCAGUUUAUAGGAUAUUUAAGAGAAUUUUUGAGUUAUUACCUUUAUAGUUAGGAUCAUCAUAAGAUAUUUGUUAGUAAAAAUUUCAAAUUUCUAAUGAAGGCUCUAUGAUAAGGAAUAAGACAAAAAGUGAUAUAUAUAUAUAUAUAUAUAUAUAUAUAUAUAUAUAUAUAUAUAUAUAUAUAUAUAUAUAUAUAUAUAUAUAUAUAUAUAUAUAUAUAUUGGGAGAUAUAUAAAAAGAUAGACCCAUUUUUGCGCUAGAUAGUGUGGAUCUAAAGGGAGAGAGACAUACCAUUCGUGUGAUUUCUAGAACACCUGUAUCUUAUCAUAGUGGGAGGUUUAUAUCCUAUGGAUUAUGAAGAAAUAGAGAGUGACUUUUGUAUAUAUUCGUGGGAGGGAGAUAUGAAGCAGUGGAUAGAAUCUGUGAAUUCUCACAUUAUUNNNNNNNNNNNNNNNNNNNNNNNNNNNNNNNNNNNNNNNNNNNNNNNNNNNNNNNNNNNNNNNNNNNNNNNNNNNNNNNNNNNNNNNNNNNNNNNNNNNNUCGAUGGAUUGACUACAUUCAUCAACUCACAUUAUGUUCGUGGUGGGUGGUUGGGUGAGUGCACUAUAAGGCUAGGGUAUACGUCUUUCCUAACAAUAAUAGCGAUUAGGAAAGUAGGUAGCGCCUAAGGUCUUUCAUUUGGCUUCUCAUUACUUUCCAUAUUCUUUUGGAGAUAUGUCUUAAAGACUAUGUAAUACCUCUUUUUUCUUAAGAGAUAUACCAGUUUAUAGGAUAUCUAAGAGAAUUUCUGAGUUAUUACCUAUAUAGUUAGGAUCAUAAUUAUAUAUAUAUAUAUAUAUAUAUAUAUAUAUAUAUAUAUAUAUAUAUAUAUAUAUAUAUAUAUAUAUAUAUAUAUAUAUAUAUAUAUAUAUUGGGGGAUACAUUAAAAGAUAGUCCCAUUUUUGCACUAGAUAUUGUGGAUCUAAAGGGUUAGAGACAUACCAUUCAUGUGAUUUCUAGAACACCAGUACCUUAUCAUAGUGGAAGGUUUAAAUCCUAUGGAUUAUGAUGAAGUAGUGAGUGACUUUUGUAUUUAUUCUUGGCAAGGAGUUAUGAAGCAAUGGUUAGAAUCUUUGAAUUCUAACAUUAUUUAGGUUCCUAUAGAAGCACCUAAAGGGAUAGAACCUAUAGGUGUAAGUUGGUCUACAAGAGGAAUCAAAGAGUAGAUGGAAAACUUGAAUUUUAUGUGGCUAGUUUGUAGCUAAAGGCUAUAGUUUGAAAUUUUGUUUCAACUAUAUAAAACCACUUCAACAAUAGUCAUACUCAAAUCCAUCAAAUUACCUUUAUCCAUUGCAGUGCAUCUCAUUUAUGAGAUAUAAUAACCAUACAUUUUCACAACAAAGGCCUUGUGCGUACAAGAAGGUGCAGGGAAGCAUGAUGGUGCUCUUAGAUCUUAUAGGUAGAUGAUAAUCUAUUUGUUGGGAAUAAUGUAGGGAUAUUGUCAUCAAUUAAGAUUUGGUUGUCAACUCAGUUCUAGAUGAAAAUUUAGAAAUGGCAUAAUAUAUUCUUGGGUUUAAGGCCUUUCAGGAUUGCAAGAAUAGGAAAAUUGAGCUAUGUCUCCUACAUUGAAAAGCAUUUGGUCAAGUGCAUGAUAUAGGACUCCAAGCCUAGGUUUGGAUUUGCCUUUCUCACGAUCAGUGCCCUUGUAUAUCUAAGGAGAAAAAUUACAUUAAGGUAGCAUCCUAUGCCUUUGUUAUGGGUAACCUCAUGUAUGCAAUGCUAUGUGUUAGAUCAAACAUUUGCUUUGAUGUAGGAAUGGUGAGUAGACAUUAGUAUGAUCUAGGAUUAAAGUUUUGGGUGGAUUUCAAACAUAUACUCAAGUAUCUUUGGAGAACAAAGGGUUAUAUUCUUAUGAGUCUUUGCGAUGAGUUGGUACUCGUUAGGUAUCAAGAAUUAGACUUUUAGCUUGAUGAGGACUCUUGCAAGUCUAUCUCUAGGUAUGCGUAUACUCUACAUGGUUUUUGUUGCUUUUGAAGCAAAAAAGAAAAUUGUUUGACUUAGCGUAGUUCUUUUGGUUGCAUCAUUUAAGAUUAUGUUUUUUAUAAUAGGAGGAUGGUGGCAUAGUCUAAAGAACCAAGGUACCAUUAGAAGAGAAAACACAUAUAAAUGAAGUACUAUUUGCUUUGUGAGAUAGUUAAGAGAAGUGAUGUGACUGUGGAACAUUUUUUUUUUGUGGCAUCUAGUAUAUUUUUAGGGCUAAUGGAAGUUUUUUUGGAUCGAUCUCCUAAAAAUAAGACAUAAUGUAAAAAAAGUCAGACUUAAUUAUCCUCUUGUUAUUCAUUUUAUGCAUUGACAUUGAUUUAAACAUUCAGCCCAUAUCUCUUACAUUAUACGUGACUUGGGUACAUUAGGAGUUAGACAAAGGAUAUAAGUCAUAAGUUUCAUGUAAGUAGAUAAGUUGUCCAUAGUUAGUUCAUGGAUUUGGGCAAUCCAGUUAAGACUGUAGUGCACUACAUCCUAAUUGGAAGGAUGACUUAUCUUAGUCAUUGGAAUAGGUUUCCCAUGGUGAGUGCACUAAUGUAUAACAUACACACUGGACAGGGCCUACAAUGAAUCUAUUAGGAUAAAACCUUUAAAAACAUGACAUGAUGUAAUAAACUCUUGGAUUUUAUUUGUUUAAUAAAGUUUUAAUUCAUUUUUAUCUAUCCUAUUUCUAUGCAUUAUAUCUUGUAAGCACUUUAGCCAGCAUCUUUUGCAUUGUAUGUGACUUAGGUGCAUUAGGAGUUGCACAUAAUAUCCAAGUCAUAAGGUUCCUUGCAAAUAGAUGACUUGUUCAUAGUUGAUUCAUGGAUUUAAACAAUCUAUUAGAGGCUAUAGUACACUACCUUCUAAUUGGAGGGAUGACUAGUUAUGGCUAUCGAGAUGGGUUUUCCAUGGUGAGUGUACUAAUAUGUAUGGUUACACAUUGGAUAGAACCUACGAUGAGUCAUGACUUAAGGUUAUCUAGUAGUCACAACCUCACCAAGUUGUUUCAUUAUGUUGCAUCUCAACCUUGAGAGAAUAUUGAGCUUGUGUUGAAACUAAUAGUGGCUUUUACCUAAGAGUAAGAUUGUAAGCUAAUCAUAUAUUCCCUAUGGAUUGGGUCACUGUUGAUGAAAACAAAACUAAUAAAUUCCUUGAUAAAAAUGGGAGUUAAUAAUUUUUUGAAUUAUUUAAUUUCAUUCAUUCUGUUAUUCAUUUGAUUCUUCAAGGAAAUUAAUUUAAAUAUUGGAGAAAAUUAAACCUAAGACAUUAGAGGAAACCAAAUGAACUUAUGACAACAUGACUUAGAAAUUUGAGAGAGAUACCUGACGCAGAUGUUUCUUGCAAGAUAUUUAUGUUUGAAUUGUCUAUCUCUCUUGAACUAUUCUGAGUCAUAAAAGCUUCUUUCCAUGAUCUUCACUGCCUAUUUUCUAGUUGAAGAUAGACCUUUGUGUUUUACUGUUGAUUUAUUGUGUCUUAUGAAGCUUCUAUUAUAUUUGGUUGAUUUGCAUACAUUUGUAGUCCUCUCAAGCUUAGAUUUGCACAUUGGCGUCACUACAGGAAUUUGUUCAUUUUUCAUGCUUUCACAAUGCAUCAAGACAAAUCUCAAACUAUCUUAUUCUAUUGAUUUGAUCAUAUCUUAUCCUACACAUUGCUUUAUCUUUAGUAUUGUUUUCUAUAUGUGUGCAUGUUACAAGAUUGGAAGAUAAGUACUAUAAGAUUGUGAAAUGCAUUCCCUUAAUUUAUUUUUAAUUGAGCAUUAAUAUGUGCUAUGUAAACUCCAUUAUGAGAGUUCAGGUGGGUUUAUGUAACAAUGUUUUGUCACAAAAUUAUCAUAGGGGGAGAUUGUUAGAACCUUGAGUCUUUUAUAUGUAUGUUGGUAAUUUUAUUGCUUUUAAUGUUUUGCCAAAGAACUCCUUUUAGAUAGUGACUUGCUCUCUAUCGAAAAUCAAUGGUUGUUGUUUAUCUAACUAGGAAGUCACAGCUAUGUCUAAAAAGGUUUGACUUACGGCAAAUUAGGCUCCUAUAAGGUAUAGAGAGAAUUAGUUUGCUUUUUAACUUAAAAUAACUUCCAUUAAAGUUUUUAUAAAAAGACAGGACUACUCAAGCGGCCUGAAGUGCUCAAGAGUUAAAAAGUGGUCAAGCAUUCCUAUCACUCAAGCUCCCUUACUACUCAAGCGCUCGAGGUGCUCAAGCAGUCCUUCAUUGAGCUUGAGCAGUUAUGUUGUUCUUACCAAGAUUUUUGAAUCUUGGGUUGAAGACCUUCAUCCCUUCAGUGAGGCUUAAAUGUAUUCAUUAAAGCAAUGAGAGGUUGUUGCAUCUUGGAUGUGGAUCAAGUUAUAGGUAUUAGAGAGUAAGUCUUUAGGGCAAAAUGGCGAGGUAAAUCUAUGUAAUUUGAUCUCAUAUAGUGGAUUUAGAUUAAGGGUCUUAGACCUCAUUGUUUUU
RNAcentral lists this long non-coding RNA (38412 nucleotides) under Vitis vinifera (wine grape). Its description in RNAcentral is "long non-coding RNA (VVIN_LNC004215)". The record is from RNAcentral. Lineage: Eukaryota; Viridiplantae; Streptophyta; Magnoliopsida; Vitales; Vitaceae.